Molecule: ribosomal RNA, 393 nt
Filed under: uncultured bacterium
Lineage: Bacteria
Description: partial 16S ribosomal RNA
Rfam family: Bacterial small subunit ribosomal RNA
Source: RNAcentral
AUACGGAAGGUCCGGGCGUUAUCCGGAUUUAUUGGGUUUAAAGGGAGCGCAGGCGGAGAUGCAAGCGUGACGUCAAAUUUCGGGGCUCAACCCCGUCUCGCGUCGCGAACUGCGUCCCUUGGUUGCGGGAAGGGGAGGCGGAACUCGUGGUGUAGCGGUGAAAUGCAUAGAUAUCACGAAGAACUCCGAUCGCGAAGGCAGCCAUCCGGCCCGUCAACGACGCUCAUGCUCGAAGGUGCGGGUAUCAAACAGGAGUAGAUUCCCUGGUAGUCCGCACAGUAAACGAUGGUCACCCGCGGUUUGGCCUGUAUGGCUGAGCCGCCAAGCGAAAGCGUUAAGUGUCCCACCUGGGGAGUACGCCGGCAACGGUGAAACUCAAAUGAAUUGACGGGG